This 115-nucleotide ribosomal RNA is filed under the name Cordylochernes scorpioides. Lineage: Eukaryota; Metazoa; Arthropoda; Arachnida; Pseudoscorpiones; Chernetidae. The record is from RNAcentral.
ACGGCCAUACCACAUUGAAAACACCGGUUCUCGUCCGAUCACCGAAGUUAAGCAAUGUCGGGCCUGGUUAGUACUUGGGAGGGUGACCACCUGGGAAUACAGGGUGCUGUAAGCU